This 448-nucleotide ribosomal RNA is filed under the name uncultured bacterium. Its description in RNAcentral is "bacterial SSU rRNA". It matches the Rfam family "Bacterial small subunit ribosomal RNA", at positions 29 to 523 of the family's 1533-position model. The record is from RNAcentral.
AACGAACGCUGGCGGCAGGCUUAACACAUGCAAGUCGAACGCCCCGCAAGGGGAGUGGCAGACGGGUGAGUAACGCGUGGGAACGUACCUUUCGCUUCGGAAUAUUCCCGGGAAACUGGGAGCAAUGCCGAAUACGCCGUAUUGGGAAAGAUUUAUCGGCGAAAGAUCGGGCCCGCGUUAGAUUAGCUAGUUGGCGGUGUAAUGGACCACCAAGGCUACGAUCUAUAGCUGGUCUGAGAGGAUGAUCAGCCACACUGGGACUGAGACACGGCCCAGACUCCUACGGGAGGCAGCAGUGGGGAAUCUUGGACAAUGGGCGCAAGCCUGAUCCAGCCAUGCCGCGUGAGUGAAGAAGGCCUUAGGGUUGCAAAACUCUUUCGCCGGUGAAGAUAAUGACGGUAACCGGAGAAGAAGCCCCGGACUAACGUCGUGCCAGCAGCCGCGGUAA